RNAcentral lists this unclassified non-coding RNA (394 nucleotides) under Melitaea cinxia (Glanville fritillary). RNAcentral describes it as "misc RNA ENSMCXG00005016904.1". The record is from RNAcentral. Lineage: Eukaryota; Metazoa; Arthropoda; Insecta; Lepidoptera; Nymphalidae.
UCAAAUUUGGCACGAAUAUUAUUAAGAAGUCGGGUCAACAUAUAGGCUACAUUUUAUCAUGCUAUCACGUACCGGGAACGAGCAGUGAACCUUUAUUUCCUCAACGCAUUCUGCAACAACGUGUAAUCUAACGACGCAUAUUUGAAUGUUGUUGUUAUUAUGUUAAUAACCAUGAUAUAUUAAGCCGAUAAACAUAAUUAAAUGAAUAUAAGUAGACUAGACAAUUUUAAAGCAGCACCAUCUAUGAGAUUUUUCUGUAGAUAUGAAAUGUAAAGAAGAAACGGGUAAAUGAAUGUUAUUUUAAAAGUUAUAAUCGUAGGUAUUUUUGGUGCUGUAUAGCGUUCACGCAGACGACGUCGCGGGCAGCAGCUAGUAUUUAUAUAUAAAUGUAGAA